Molecule: long non-coding RNA, 821 nt
Organism: Xenia sp. Carnegie-2017
Lineage: Eukaryota; Metazoa; Cnidaria; Anthozoa; Malacalcyonacea; Xeniidae
Exons: 3
Source: RefSeq, a predicted model, not a curated record
UCUUCGUGGAAUUUUGCACUCGAAAAAACUAAUUCAUGAUUUCAUUUUAAGUAAACUUGUUUUUAGCAACAAUAUAAAUGCAAAAAUAUCUCAUAAUUUUGGCAAACUCAAAGACAUAUUAAUUCUGAGAAAAGUGUUAGUGUUACUUCGGUUUCACGCCUAUUGAGUGUUGACAAGACAUUAGAAAACAAAAAUGUUGUCAUUAUCAGAUGCAGCUAAAUUAGAAUCAUUUGGAGACAAGGCUGUAAGUCGUUUCCGUCCAUGGUGGGAAGUCCUGACCUUCUACAGUCUGAAUUGUUUGCUAAUGGCAAUCUUGUUUUCAUUGGCUGGUAUCACCAUCUCUGGUACCUACAAUAUAUGGUGUUUUCCUGAUGAUAAAGACAUGCAAUUGGACUACAGCAUCAUGAACUAUGUCAGCUCCAAAUGUUCAAGAAUCUUUGAUGGAAAGUAUCUCAUAUAUUUCCCCUACUGGAUGCUCUUGGAGUGGAGUGUGUUUUUUGUCAUCCAUCUGCUCUGGUUCAAGAUGCCAGCAACAUUUUUUCUGUUCCAACAACUAUCUGAAGUGUUCUCUGAAUUUAGCACCAUAAAGCCAGUAGAAUUCAAUACAGAAAAGAGAAUUUUACAAGGUGAAUGAAGUGAAGGUUUGAAACCAAAGAUGCCAGUCUGGAAUGUGCGGUCGUAGCUUGUGAUGACAGUACUCGUAUCCGAACGUGCUUUGUGUUUAUUUCUUCUUGUAACAAUUUGUGUAUAUAAAUUAACUCAAAUAAUCUGAAGUCUUAAGUUAAAGACGAAACGUUAUUAAUAAAUCCUUCUCUAUUUUA